This 258-nucleotide ribosomal RNA is filed under the name Variovorax sp. ISO240_OTU223. RNAcentral's name for it is "partial 16S ribosomal RNA". It matches the Rfam family "Bacterial small subunit ribosomal RNA", at positions 30 to 289 of the family's 1533-position model. The record is from RNAcentral. Lineage: Bacteria; Pseudomonadati; Pseudomonadota; Betaproteobacteria; Burkholderiales; Comamonadaceae. RNAcentral also lists the same sequence under 2 other names.
UUGAACGCUGGCGGCAUGCCUUACACAUGCAAGUCGAACGGCAGCACGGGAGCAAUCCUGGUGGCGAGUGGCGAACGGGUGAGUAAUACAUCGGAACGUGCCCAAUCGUGGGGGAUAACGCAGCGAAAGCUGUGCUAAUACCGCAUAAGAUCUACGGAUGAAAGCAGGGGAUCGCAAGACCUUGCGCGAAUGGAGCGGCCGAUGGCAGAUUAGGUAGUUGGUGAGGUAAAGGCUCACCAAGCCUUCGAUCUGUAGCUG